RNAcentral lists this ribosomal RNA (500 nucleotides) under uncultured bacterium. Its description in RNAcentral is "partial 16S ribosomal RNA". It matches the Rfam family "Bacterial small subunit ribosomal RNA", at positions 30 to 523 of the family's 1533-position model. The record is from RNAcentral.
AUUGAACGCUGGCGGCAUGCCUUACACAUGCAAGUCGAACGGCAGCACGGGAGCAAUCCUGGUGGCGAGUGGCGAACGGGUGAGUAAAGUAUCGGAACGUGCCCAGUCGUGGGGGAUAACGUAGCGAAAGUUACGCUAAUACCGCAUACGAUCUAUGGAUGAAAGCGGGGGAUCGCAAGACCUCGCGCGAUUGGAGCGGCCGAUAUCAGAUUAGGUAGUUGGUGGGGUAAAGGCUCACCAAGCCGACGAUCUGUAGCUGGUGUGAGAGGACGACCAGCCACACUGGGACUGAGAGACGGCCCAGACUCCUACGGGAGGCAGCAGUGGGGAAUUUUGGACAAUGGGCGCAAGCCUGAUCCAGCCAUGCCGCGUGCAGGAUGAAGGCCUUCGGGUUGUAAACUGCUUUUGUACGGAACGAAAAGGUUUGGCUUAAUACGUUGAACUCAUGACGGUACCGUAAGAAUAAGCACCGGCUAACUACGUGCCAGCCGCCGCCGUAA